UAUUUCCUGCCAAUGUUGCUCACUCGGU
This 28-nucleotide non-coding RNA is filed under the name Homo sapiens (human). The record is from RNAcentral. Lineage: Eukaryota; Metazoa; Chordata; Mammalia; Primates; Hominidae.